CAGUAGCCGCGGUAAUACGGAGGGUGCAAGCGUUAAUCGGAAUUACUGGGCGUAAAGCGCACGCAGGCGGCUUGUUAAGUCAGAUGUGAAAUCCCCGAGCUUAACUUGGGAACUGCAUUUGAAACUGGCAAGCUAGAGUCUUGUAGAGGGGGGUAGAAUUCCAGGUGUAGCGGUGAAAUGCGUAGAGAUCUGGAGGAAUACCGGUGGCGAAGGCGGCCCCCUGGACAAAGACUGACGCUCAGGUGCGAAAGCGUGGGGAGCAAACAGGAUUAGAUACCCGUGUAGUCCCUGUCUCUUAUAC
This 301-nucleotide ribosomal RNA is filed under the name uncultured bacterium. RNAcentral's name for it is "partial 16S ribosomal RNA". It matches the Rfam family "Bacterial small subunit ribosomal RNA", at positions 509 to 807 of the family's 1533-position model. The record is from RNAcentral.